AGUUCAAUAAAAAAAAUAUAAAAUUUAUGAUGAAAAUAUCAAAUAACUUUUAUUAAUCAAUAAUUCAUAUACAAUUUACAAGGAGCACAAUUGUUUACAAAUAGACGAUUGGCUUUAGUAUAUAUUUUCCAACAACUUUCACUUGGACUAAAGCCAAUCGGAAUAAUAUUUAAUACCCAUCUUUCCGUUGUGAUCAUCGAACUCUUUGAUUCCAAGGACUUUAGUAAAUGGGUCGGCCAAGCUCUCCUUUGCAUUGAUCUUCUGAAGCUCGACAUCAUCUCGAUCCAUGAUCUCUCACAUAAGGUGAUAGCUGAAGGAACCAGAUCUAGGAUUUCAAGAUUAGAUCUUGAAACUUUUUCAAGAUCUGACCGUGAAAUAUUAAAAUAAAUCAAAAUUUAUCUUAUAAAAUUAGAGAAUCCCUAAAUCUA
This 428-nucleotide long non-coding RNA is filed under the name Elaeis guineensis (African oil palm). RNAcentral describes it as "long non-coding RNA (EGUI_LNC048492)". The record is from RNAcentral. Lineage: Eukaryota; Viridiplantae; Streptophyta; Magnoliopsida; Arecales; Arecaceae.